RNAcentral lists this microRNA precursor (83 nucleotides) under Marmota monax (woodchuck). Lineage: Eukaryota; Metazoa; Chordata; Mammalia; Rodentia; Sciuridae. The record is from RNAcentral.
ACUGUGAGCCCAUAUAGUGUGUGUGUGUCUGUGUGUGUAUACAUACACACAGACACACACACAGACACACACACACACACACA